AUUGAACGCUGGCGGCAGGCCUAACACAUGCAAGUCGAGCGGUAGAGAGGUGCUUGCAUCUCUUGAGAGCGGCGGACGGGUGAGUAAUGCCUAGGAAUCUGCCUGGUGGUGGGGGAUAACGUUCGGAAACGGACGCUAAUACCGCAUACGUCCUACGGGAGAAAGCGGGGGAUCUUCGGACCUCGCGCCAUUAGAUGAGCCUAGGUCGGAUUAGCUAGUUGGUGAGGUAAUGGCUCACCAAGGCGACGAUCCGUAACUGGUCUGAGAGGAUGAUCAGUCACACUGGAACUGAGACACGGUCCAGACUCCUACGGGAGGCAGCAGUGGGGAAUAUUGGACAAAUGGGCGAAAGCCUGAUCCAGCCAUGCCGCGUGUGUGAAGAAGGUCUUCGGAUUGUAAAGCACUUUAAGUUGGGUAGGAAGGGUAGUAACCUAAUACGUUGCUACUUUGACGUUACCGACAGAAUAAGCACCGGCUAACUUCGUG
RNAcentral lists this ribosomal RNA (486 nucleotides) under uncultured bacterium. Its description in RNAcentral is "bacterial SSU rRNA". It matches the Rfam family "Bacterial small subunit ribosomal RNA", at positions 30 to 507 of the family's 1533-position model. The record is from RNAcentral.